RNAcentral lists this signal recognition particle RNA (274 nucleotides) under Candidatus Woesearchaeota archaeon. RNAcentral's name for it is "signal recognition particle sRNA". It matches the Rfam family "Archaeal signal recognition particle RNA". Lineage: Archaea; Nanobdellati; Candidatus Woesearchaeota. The record is from RNAcentral.
GGGCAAGCUAGGUUGGGAUGUUAGCCGUAUCCUGUAGCCACAAAUCGGCUUUAUGGUGGAACUGAAGCUGCUUGAGCGGUACACGUCUUAUGAUUGUGUCCUGGUAGGGGCGUUGAGGUUCUGUCCGUAUUGGUUGGGUUAAGAGGAACCGUGUCAGGCGGGGAACCGAGCAGCACUAACUGUUGGCUUUAACGCUUUACGGGUCGCGGAAAGGAGUCGCUAACAGGGUAGCGCGAUCAUGGAGGCUUGUGCUCAUCGGGCAGCGUGCUUGUCC